Molecule: ribosomal RNA, 1438 nt
Filed under: uncultured Ralstonia sp.
Lineage: Bacteria; Pseudomonadati; Pseudomonadota; Betaproteobacteria; Burkholderiales; Burkholderiaceae
Description: bacterial SSU rRNA
Rfam family: Bacterial small subunit ribosomal RNA
Source: RNAcentral
UUGAUCAUGGCUCAGAUUGAACGCUGGCGGCAUGCCUUACACAUGCAAGUCGAACGGCAGCAUGAUCUAGCUUGCUAGAUUGAUGGCGAGUGGCGAACGGGUGAGUAAUACAUCGGAACGUGCCCUGUAGUGGGGGAUAACUAGUCGAAAGAUUAGCUAAUACCGCAUACGACCUGAGGGUGAAAGUGGGGGACCGCAAGGCCUCAUGCUAUAGGAGCGGCCGAUGUCUGAUUAGCUAGUUGGUGAGGUAAAGGCUCACCAAGGCGACGAUCAGUAGCUGGUCUGAGAGGACGAUCAGCCACACUGGGACUGAGACACGGCCCAGACUCCUACGGGAGGCAGCAGUGGGGAAUUUCGGACAAUGGGGGCAACCCUGAUCCAGCAAUGCCGCGUGUGUGAAGAAGGCCUUCGGGUUGUAAAGCACUUUUGUCCGGAAAGAAAUCGCACUUACUAAUAUUAGGUGUGGAUGACGGUACCGGAAGAAUAAGGACCGGCUAACUACGUGCCAGCAGCCGCGGUAAUACGUAGGGUCCAAGCGUUAAUCGGAAUUACUGGGCGUAAAGCGUGCGCAGGCGGUUGUGCAAGACCGAUGUGAAAUCCCCGGGCUUAACCUGGGAAUUGCAUUGGUGACUGCACGGCUAGAGUGUGUCAGAGGGGGGUAGAAUUCCACGUGUAGCAGUGAAAUGCGUAGAGAUGUGGAGGANUACCGAUGGCGAAGNCAGCCCCCUGGGAUANCACUGACGCUCAUGCACGAAAAGCGUGGGGAGCAAACAGGAUUAGAUACCCUGGUAGUCCACGCCCUAAACGAUGUCAACUAGUUGUUGGGGAUUCAUUUCUUAGUAACGUAGCUAACGCGUGAAGUUGACCGCCUGGGGAGUACGGUCGCAAGAUUAAAACUCAAAGGAAUUGACGGGGACCCGCACAAGCGGUGGAUGAUGUGGAUUAAUUCGAUGCAACGCGAAAAACCUUACCUACCCUUGACAUGCCACUAACGAAGCAGAGAUGCAUUAGGUGCUCGAAAGAGAAAGUGGACACAGGUGCUGCAUGGCUGUCGUCAGCUCGUGUCGUGUGAUGUUGGGUUAAGUCCCGCAACGAGCGCAACCCUUGUCUCUAGUUGCUACGAAAGGGCACUCUAGAGAGACUGCCGGUGACAAACCGGAGGAAGGUGGGGAUGACGUCAAGUCCUCAUGGCCCUUAUGGGUAGGGCUUCACACGUCAUACAAUGGUGCAUACAGAGGGUUGCCAAGCCGCGAGGUGGAGCUAAUCCCAGAAAAUGCAUCGUAGUCCGGAUCGUAGUCUGCAACUCGACUACGUGAAGCUGGAAUCGCUAGUAAUCGCGGAUCAGCAUGCCGCGGUGAAUACGUUCCCGGGUCUUGUACACACCGCCCGUCACACCAUGGGAGUGGGUUUUGCCAGAAGUAGUUAGCCUAACCGCAAG